UAACAAGAUUGCAUGAACCGUUGCCAUAAAGUCACCUAUGGCAAAACUAAAUUGGCAAAAAAAGCUAUUACAUUAGUUGUAAUUUAUUUCCAUUUCCCUCCCAAUUUUUUCACUACAUCCGCCAAAAUUAAAAUAAUAUAUAUCAAAAGUUAAAUAACUAUAUAAAGAAAAUUUUCCAUUUCUGAUGAAGAUUUCCCACUCUCAACCACGAUAGCCAGUACGCUCCGAUGACCAACACCACCAGUAGGCUCCGUCCAUACACCACACACCACUAGUAGCUCCGACCAUACACCACCAGUAGCACUGACCGCAUACCACCCACACACUCCGACUGCACACCACUAGUACACUCUUUUCCAACUUCUCUCUCAAUCACUAGUAAUGAAAGUAAUUUGUACUCUUCUAAUUUUAGUUGCAUGAGCAUCCUCUAAGAAGUUGUAAAGAGGCACCACUACUUCGACCACUGCUUAAAUUUCUGAGCAAAUUUGGGGCUUUCGUCUAAUUUUUUGAUUUUAAGAAUUUUCACAGUCUGAUUCAAAGAAAGCUAGUGAAUUAUUAAACACAAUCGUGGCCUCAUUGUCAAUUUGGGAUCUUCUUAUAAAUGGAAUACACACAGAGGAGAACAAGAAUAACGAUUGCGAACAAUGAGAAUCCUACAGAGGCUCCAAGGUAUCUGUAGAACUUUCCAUAUAAACUGCAAACCUUUCCCCACCCCACAUGAGUGUUGCCUUUUAGUCCUAUGUAAAUUACUGAUGUUGUUGCUCCAGUUGCUGAUGCCACUAUGCCUUACAAAGGCUAUAAGUUUACAUAAAUAUUACACUAGUGAACAAUGGUGGAUCCAAGACUAAAUCAAUAAAUGCGCUAUAGUGGCAGUGAACAAUAUUCUUUAGUACUCCUUGCCUGUCUAAAUUGUGACAAAGUCCAUACCAGAAUUUCAUAACCUACUUCCUAAAACCCUUGCCUGGUAAUAGUGAUAAAACAGAAGGCGCAACAGACCUCAAGUGUAAUACACACUACCCUUGUAGAUAUCUAAUCAUAUAUUUAAUAUAUUAUUGAUAAAUAAGGCGAUUAAAAAAGUCAUAGAGGUCAUAGUAUUAUGCUUGUGUGUUUAAGGGGUAGAUUGCACUCUAUUAGAUUGCACUCUAUUUUUGUUUAUAUUAGUAUCGAUUAAAGGUAAUGAAUUAUAGUUUCUCUUAGCUAGGGUAUUGCAUUGAUCAUCACGGUUCUCCAGGUUUUGCAAAUUCCAAAUCUUAAGGUAAAAACAAAUGAAGAAAAUUACAAAGGAGAAGAAAAUGUCAAAAGCUUCAUGUUAAAAGUGAUGUUCUUAGAUAGCAGCGCUAUCGUUCGAGCAUGCUUCAUCACAGAUGUCCAGGACUGUUUCUAUCACAGUAGAAAUUGGUGAGAGCUGCUCUGUGAAAAAAAAGCUUGAUGCAACGACCGCUACAGAAACAGUAUAUCAGAAUAAGACAAAUAUCCUCUUUUGUGUGCCAAAAAUUUAUGUAGCUCAGGCAAUCAAAAGCUCCCUGCUCCUUUUGGGGUUGUCGGUGAACAAGCUAAAAUUGGUUGUGGAACAAUUGUGUAACUUCGACAUUAGAAACCAAAAGUUGGGAAAGGUGAUAACUACAACUCCUUAGCUACUACUGCAGAAGCUUCAGGAAUUUCAUCAGACUUAAAGAAUCAUGAAUCAACAAGGAUGUUCGAGAAAUCAUCAGAAAGCUAAAAUUUUCUUUCAGCUAGAUCACUGGCAGCUCAACUAAACAAACAAAUAAUAGAACACAUGAAGAAGAAGAAUACAAGCUACAUAAAAAGGUAAUCAGCUUGCUAUCGGUCAGUUUGAAAAUCAACAUGUAUCAUCCUCAGCUCUUCUUGGUAGCAAUAAGGAUAAGUCCAUUGUUGUUCUGUUUGAAAGUGAACUUAAGUUUUAGUCAGUAGUGUUGCAUAUUUUUAAUUAUUAGGUUUAAAUUACUAGGUUGUUGCAUAUUUUGAAUUAUGAGAUUAUUAAUGAAUGAUUUUUUUUGUAAUGUGUA
Capsicum annuum is the source of this 2027-nucleotide long non-coding RNA. RefSeq lists it as uncharacterized. NCBI's taxonomy places the organism in Eukaryota, Viridiplantae, Streptophyta, Magnoliopsida, Solanales, Solanaceae. The record is from RefSeq and is a predicted model, not a curated record. The transcript has 7 exons.